AUAGGCUUACCCACAUGUUUAAAUCAGUUUAAGUAAACUCCCUUAGAAGGUAAUUUAGAUUAAUUUUCUUGAAAUGUUUGUGUCUGAAGACAAGUAAAACUGCAAUUCUUUGUGCAAAUUCUCAUACAAUCAUUAUUACAUCGAGCAAAAUGCCCAGGGUAUCUUUGGGGUCUGUGCAACCUAUGGAUGCUACAAAGGAAAAAACCACCUAUUCUCAUGCCUUGGUUGUUUGUGACAGCAAUGAUGUUUUUAACUAAAUCAUAUGAAAAAAUUCUUGAGCAUGGAAACAAUCUAGGGUGUUAAGCAAUUUUAUAAUUAUAAUGUUAUUUAUUUGGAUAAAGAGGGGGGCUUUUCUGGUUGGAUGUCAUUGAUUGUCUUUUCAUAGCUUUAAAAAAUGAUGUUUUGCAGAAUCAUUAUACUAGCAACAGUCAGCUACAUCAUGUAUAAAUCAGCAGCAUGCAGAAAAUGCUUACAGCAGUAGAUAAUAGAGAAAAAAAAAAGACAUGUUGGGCAGAAAACAUUUCCAACAUACAUUUCCCAUCAUGAAGGACAAUGUAAGCAACUGUCAGGUAAAACAAGACAUCUCUUGGGAGGAUGGGAUGGUGCUGAAAAUUGCCAGGGUCAGAUUGGGUCACCUGGGUGUUUUCUUCCCUUAUCUCUGCCUGCUUUAAAUAAUGCAAAAAUGCAGACUUGGCUGAGGCCCCAGCUCAUCAGAGCACUUAAGCAUGCCCUUGAUUGCAAGCAUGUGCAAAGGCUUACUGAUGAGGAAGGGAAGAAGGAACAGGUUUCAAACGUGAAGGAAGAGCUGUGUGCAUUUUCCCUACAAAAGGUUCUUCAGCUGUCUGUGAAUCAGAGAAUGGAGAUACUUCAUGGCAUCUCCUUCCUCGUGGGCCAAGCAAAUCUACAGGAGGCUGGCAGUACAACCUCAGGCUUCAGAAGAAAUGUGAAAGAGAAAAUAUAAAACCAUACACAAAGAAAACACUAAGUAUUUUAAACUGCAGAACUCUCCUUUUUUUCCUGUUCCAGUAGUCUCAGGGGCAGAAUUUCUUUUCCAGACCUGACCCAAAUCACACAACACCAAUACCCACCAUGGAGAGUGCCCACAGUACUGAGAAAGUGAAGUUUUCAUGGCUCGGAUUUUCAGUGUUACAAAUCUGGAAAACCAAGGUGAUUUCUGGAAGAAAUUUUUAUGGUUUAGGAUAUUUAAUUUUCCCUUUUUUCUUAGUUUUCCUGUAAUGUAUAAAAAUAGGACCAAAAUGCCACUUCCAUCGUAAAGCUUCAGAAAUAAAAACUUGUAUCAACAAUUGUGCAAAUGGAAACCACCAAGGAUUAUUUGAAAGGGUCAGCCUGAAUGUUGAGUGGGAAUGUAACUCCUUGGCUUCUGAACUUCAAAUGCAGAAUGUAGCUGUA
This is a long non-coding RNA of Passer domesticus (house sparrow), 1410 nucleotides long. RefSeq lists it as uncharacterized. The transcript is spliced from 3 exons. The record is from RefSeq and is a predicted model, not a curated record. NCBI's taxonomy places the organism in Eukaryota, Metazoa, Chordata, Aves, Passeriformes, Passeridae.